UGGCAGUGCGUCUUAAGCAUGCAAGUCAAACGGAAUGUAGCAAUACAUCUAGUGGCGAACGGGUGAGUAACGCGUGGAUGAUCUACCUACGAGAUGGGGAUAACUAUUAGAAAUAGUAGCUAAUACCGAAUAAGGUCAAUUAAUUUGUUAAUUGAUGAAAGGAAGCCUUUAAAGCUUCGCUUGUAGAUGAGUCUGCGUCUUAUUAGCUAGUUGGUAGGGUAAAUGCCUACCAAGGCGAUGAUAAGUAACCGGCCUGAGAGGGUGAACGGUCACACUGGAACUGAGAUACGGUCCAGACUCCUACGGGAGGCAGCAGCUAAGAAUCUUCCGCAAUGGG
RNAcentral lists this ribosomal RNA (337 nucleotides) under Borreliella garinii. Its description in RNAcentral is "bacterial SSU rRNA". It matches the Rfam family "Bacterial small subunit ribosomal RNA", at positions 37 to 375 of the family's 1533-position model. The record is from RNAcentral. Lineage: Bacteria; Pseudomonadati; Spirochaetota; Spirochaetia; Spirochaetales; Borreliaceae.